AUGCUGAACCUGAAAAAUACAAUAUCUUGCCAUAUCUCAGCAUCAACUCACACUCACACACACAAUCUGUUCACUUCAAAAGCUAAAGGCACAGCCUGGCCUGCUGCAGAUUCUCCCAUGAGCAGAGGGCUGGGGCUCAUAUCCCCUUCCUGGAAAAUUAUCUCUUUUCCUCACUUAUGGGCUAAUGAUACCUUCGUCUUUUCUCUCCUUGCACCUCUCUAUCACAUUCAGUGCUGUAAGGACUGGCAACGGCAGGCACAAGCUGACACUGGUGGUAGGCUUGCCUCGUGGCUCUCCGAGACUUUUGUCCAACGCUGCUGGGCUGCUCCUCCCAGUCCUUCCUCCUGCCAUCUCCUUCUGCCUUGCUUUCUGGUUGGAUUCCUCCACCCUGUGCACAGCCCGGUAUGGCACUGGUCUCCUCCUCCUUGUGCAUGGCUCCCUGCAGGGACACCUGGAGAUGGUCUUACCUUGAAGGCCUUGGAAUGUCUCUGUGGGCUGUGUGCAAUGCUGGGGGGUGCUUUAGGUCCCCUCGCUGCUCUGCAAAUGCUGUACAAAGGAGCCCAGAUCUCACCCAAGUUAUGCAACCAGCAACUUAUCCUGAGAAUUGGGGGCUUACUUGAAAGCCCUCACUUUCCUGCUCCUGCCCUUCCUGCUGCUGCUGGCCUGUCUGUGAUCAGAAAUGGCUCUGCCUGCUGCCAAGCUGCUAUGGGUGCCAGCACAGAGGAGCCCCACGUGAGCCGCACAGAGGCUGGGCCAGUGCAAUCCCUGCUGGGCUCAGAGCUGGGGCAGGGGCUGGCAGACAGCGUGGACUUGGGGGGGCCGGGGGGAGGUAUGGGCUGUUGUUUGAGAUCAGCCUUCUUUGCACUGUCUGUUCAUCCCGUUUAUCCUGGACAGGGACAGCUGCAAAGUGCUGGGCAUAGCCCUGUCCUGCACUAUUCUGUCACCAAUUCUUCUUCACAGAAUUUCUUCUGUGUUUCCAUCAGUUCUUACUACAGGAAAAGUUUACCACUGGGGAAGCAAAAAUGCCACACAGACCACUGA
RNAcentral lists this long non-coding RNA (1041 nucleotides) under Apteryx haastii (Great spotted kiwi). RNAcentral's name for it is "lncRNA (ENSAHAG00000017281.1)". The record is from RNAcentral. Lineage: Eukaryota; Metazoa; Chordata; Aves; Apterygiformes; Apterygidae.